This 498-nucleotide ribosomal RNA is filed under the name uncultured bacterium. RNAcentral describes it as "partial 16S ribosomal RNA". It matches the Rfam family "Bacterial small subunit ribosomal RNA", at positions 29 to 523 of the family's 1533-position model. The record is from RNAcentral.
AUUGAACGCUGGCGGCAUGCUUUACACAUGCAAGUCGAACGGCAACAGGCCGCAAGGUGCUGACGAGUGGCGAACGGGUGAGUAAUGCAUCGGAACGUGCCCAGUCGUGGGGGAUAACGCAGCGAAAGCUGUGCUAAUACCGCAUACGAUCUAUGGAUGAAAGCGGGGGACCGUAAGGCCUCGCGCCAUUGGAGCGGCCGAUGACAGAUUAGGUAGUUGGUGGGGUAAAGGCUCACCAAGCCAACGAUCUGUAGCUGGGCUGAGAGGACGACCAGCCACACUGGGACUGAGACACGGCCCAGACUCCUACGGGAGGCAGCAGUGGGGAAUUUUGGACAAUGGGCGCAAGCCUGAUCCAGCAAUGCCGCGUGCAGGAAGAAGGCCUUCGGGUUGUAAACUGCUUUUGUACGGAACGAAAAGGUUUGGGUUAAUACCCUGGGCCGAUGACGGUACCGUAAGAAUAAGCACCGGCUAACUACGUGCCAGCCGCCGCGGUAA